This is a long non-coding RNA of Lolium perenne, 4639 nucleotides long. RefSeq lists it as uncharacterized. The record is from RefSeq and is a predicted model, not a curated record. Lineage: Eukaryota; Viridiplantae; Streptophyta; Magnoliopsida; Poales; Poaceae.
CUCUCCUCCCAGUGAUUUUCUCUGUGGAUAACACCGUUGUCCUCUUCUUCUGAAUCAAGUGAUGGGUGCAGCCCAAACUCCACUACAACACAGAUCUUUGAUGUUAGAGUUGAGCGGUCAGCUUUCAGAUGGUAUAUGCAAAGCCUACCAUGAGGCCAAGAUUCAGCACAGAGAAAAAAACUUCAGAGACAAUCACGGCACCACCCCAUGGCACGUAAAUAGGGUGAAGGUUAUAAUGCAUACAGCUUGGUAAACAACCUCUUGGAUUGGUGGAGAAAAUAUUGUCUAUUAACAUUAUUCCAGAAGAUGGGAUUCCAUGUCAAAGAAAUUUGUAGCUUCAUCAUUUGCUUAUCUCAGAUUUCAUUUACAGAGACAAUCAGAAUAUAAAUGAUGGCAGCUCCGCUUCUCUUGACAAUUUUGGAUGGGGGCUUGGGAGUGGCGGCGCAAGUAGCCUCGGCCUCAAUCUAUCGAUUUUAUGUUCUGUGCUGCAGAUUCCUGUUCGGACUGGCCUUCUUGUGAUCAUCAAGUUUCUCUUCGUUCCUAAGAGCGGAUGUCGGAUCGGUGCCCAUCGUGUCCAUCCGCCUCUACUCUGUCGUUACAUCGGCUUUGUACUGCUGGAGUCUUGAAGUGCAGCAGCAUCGGACGGACCAUACACCUAAGGGCAGCAGGACUGGAACCGUGGUUAUGGUGGUAGCAGCGGCGGAUGGGAAUUGGUGGAGGAGACCAAUUCGGUGCUGGCCGGCGAGCACAGCAUGGCAGGAGGUCUGAGAUGGCCAAGUUCGUCGUGCGGGAUUUCGUUGGUCGAGCAGAGGCUGCUGCACCUCUAUGCUGCCAAGCUGGAGUACUAAGUUUGUUCCUUCUUAGCCUUAGGCUGCAGUGAGCCACCGAAGAUCUCCAUAUGGCCACCUAUCUCUUCAUAUUCUCUUGGCAAUAUUCUGUUGCUACAAUUUUUUUGCUUGCCGAUUGAUGGUUUCAGUGAAGUGAACUAAAACGCAUGAGAUCUGCUCCAGCCCAAGAGUCUCUUUUUGGAAUAUUAUAGAUGUGUCUUGUGCAAUAAACUCAAGAUAGAGACAAGAGAUCAUUCCUUCUUGAUAUGUCAGUUUGCCCGGACGCGUUGGAAAUAUAUAUGGCCAGGUUUCAGAACUACCAGGUUUCAGAACUACAAAUUUGUUCAUAAGAAUAUUAAAAAUAGGUUAUAUAUAUGUUUAGAGGACAAAAAUUCUCCUGGGCAAGCAUCCAAUUGAUUGUGCUUCCAACAAAAUAACAAGUCCGAAGCUCAGGCAGCUAAGAGAAGAAGAGGAGGAGGAGCAGGACAUACCAAAUCAGACUUCGUUUCGUCAGUCUAUUUCUUCAGAGGGCAAAGAAGUCAUCAUUCUUCAGUCGAUUACUUCAAAGGGCAAAGAACCAGUCGACGAGGACAAUAGCUGACUGCUCCAACACCAGGGAACCACAACACCACCGGUCCUACUAUUCUACUUUCCUUUUUAGUUAAAAAUGUGUUAACAUGCUAUGUUCAUGUACUCUAUGUAUGCCAAUCCAAUCAGGUGCAAUAACUGGUUAGGUUGGCGAAUUAUGAUGGGUUCUGUAGUUAGCUCAUAUAUAUACUAUAAAUUAUUAGUACCACUACCACCUAAUCUUUGUAUUGUGUGUGGAUUGACCCAAUCUUUCAUCAAUAUCCUAUACAAGUCUGUUGCGAACAUCAACAACACUCUGGUAAAACUAUGCAAUGCAAUUCUUCAAAUUGAAGCUACAUUUCAGGCGAGGAGUUGUGUGGGGAUGAUGAUGUGGUCUUGGGGCUCAGGAAAAGUGGAUAAGUCGUUUUUGAGUGUUACAUGAUUAUGAGUUCAGUUUGGUUAUCUCUAUUCCUUACAAAUAAAAGAAUCUUCAGUUUAGGUUAGUGGAGUCUGUCUGAUGUAUAAUAUUUUGCUUCUCUCUGUUGUCUUUUCUUUAUAUUUAUGUAGUUCUACACAAGAAGAUUAUAAUAUACUUCAUGGUUCAAUUUUAGUUCUACACACGAGGAUUCGAGUAGGAAGCUAUGUAAAUCACAACUUUCUGCCUUUACUGACGAUUGUUGGGUUACUUCCAUGGCUGCUAACACAUCAAUUUCUCAGUUUGCUAAAUAGUUUUCAGAAUUUUAGCUCCUGAAUGAUAGUGAUAUACUCUGCUGAAACAUCUUGGUUAACUGAAUGAUGCAUUUCCCAUUUGUUGAUGCUAAAAUUUUGAUCUGUUGUUUUAAUGCCAUUGCUGUGUUCCUGCUCUUUCUUCAUUUUUCAAUCCGUGCUUGAGUCGCAGUCGAGUCCUAGAGGUCUGCAUGUGGUUCCACUUUCUUCUUCUUGUUUUUUCUUUUGUUCCUCCUAUUUUUCCAUUGGUUGUUUCCUUGCGUGUGUGCCAGUGGCUAGAUGAUGGUAAUCUACGCUCCGUUGUGACUAAAUAGUCUAUAUUUUCUUUCAUUGCUUUUGAAUAUCCUGGUGUAUCUAGAAAAUUUUGAUCAUAGACUAUGGAAGACAAACUAAGGUAUUUUCAGCUAGGAUCUACCAAAGUGUUCCUUUAUAUGCUUUUCAUAAUUCUCUUGCAGAUUCAGCUCGAGACUGUUAGGUAUGGAACUGUUUUAUCUCCGCGUGCACUCUUCUUGUUGACAGAAAUAUAACAAAUAUUGGCAAAUCUGAGUGAAGAUCCAAUUCUCUUCAAGGUCAAGUGAGAAGGCAUAUAACAAAUAUGGGCAAAUCAUGUGGUUGUACAAUUUUAUUUCUAUAAAUGCACAUACCUUUAUAUGUAAUUCUGAAAUUAUUACUCUGUUAUUUCUUACUGGUCUGAAUUAACAAAAUAACCCCUAUUUGGAUGAUGGAAGAGAUUUCUACCACCCACCUCCCAAACUCUAUACCUAUCGACACUCAUAUAAAAGAAACAGAGGUUUGUCUUCUCCAAACUUUGUUUUGUAGUUCGCCUAAAUAAGUGGUUUUAUUUACAAGUGGACCUACCACUAAGUAUGGCACAUGUGAUUGUCAAUUUAUCAUGGAAGUUUUUUUCUGAAUUAUAGUUAUUUUUGUUGACCAAUGGUUAUCUACCUGAAACAGUGUGGCCAUGCUGUGUCUACCAAAAUAAUUUUAACUUCCUGGUGUAAUAAUAUGGUCAUGUUAUUUUUCUUCUUUUCAAUUCUACAUAACUACUGGAAGUAGUCACAAUUACAAUUAUUGUGAUGCUGGACAUAUUCAUUUGGGCUCAUAUCAGAUAGGUAAUAGAAACUUACACUUGACACAGGAAAAAGGUUUAUAUAAUCUUCCACACUGCUACUGUUCAGAGUAUUUUCAUAUUUGGAGUUUGUUUACAUAUCAGUUACUCAAUUCUAGCAAAGUUAUGUCAUGGUCCGUUCAUUUGCCAUGACAUCUUUGAACUCCCACUAUAUUCCAAUGAAUUAAGAGGACCCAAGCCCAUAUGUGAUCAUUUUUUGUCAGGGUACUAUUCAUACACGGUAUAGCUUUUACGCAACAUAGUUAGUACCAGUACCUGUUUGAUAGCCCUAGACUCUCAAGGAAUCUAUCUAGCCAUCCAGGUCUCACGAAAUAGUCCAUCCGAACAGCUUCCAUUUCCUUCAGGAGCCUUGCAAUACUUGAAGCUAUAUUUUGUUGUAUAGUUAGUUCAUAUUACUAGGAAAAGUUAAGCAAGCUAUAUAUGUCCAAGAUACCUUAUCUUUUGCAAAGUAUAUCACAGCUAAAUGAAGUCAAUAUCUUUUCUGGUACCUAUUACUGAUGUGUAAAUCUGAUGAACAUAUUGUGUCUUUGUCAAAAGACAUUUUUCUAAGGAAAUAGAUAACUCAUGUUAACCAGUGAUUGGAAUUGUUGAUGGCCUCAAGACAAAGGCGAGAUUAUCCAUCAGAGUGGCUUCUCUACCAAAUAAGCAAUGAAUGCGCUUUUAUGACUGGUGUUCUUAGGGACUUUCGAUGUUUCCAGAUGUUCCACUCAGCUUCAUGACUGUUGUUCUUGGGGACUUUUGAUGCCUUGAGAUCUUCUACUCUACAAUUCUAGAAUUCUGAUGAUACAAAAGCUUAUGAGCAUAAUUUUACAUUGUAUCUUGGCUUGGCAUUUUGAGAACAGAAUAUUUACUACAACAUUUUCUCACAGAAAAUGUCCCCAUGACAGCCUGCAAGGUACUAUCAAUCCACCUACAAGAAUUGAUUAACGUAGGAGGCAUAGAGAUCUCGCAGUGGACAGCAGCCUAUGGUUCAGUCACAACAACAAUUUCCCAGAUGGUGCACAGGACGGUAAAAGGAAUGCCCUGCACCCAUAAACACUCCAGCAGUGGUUGAACAUAUGCUAAGCCCAUUUGUUUUGGACAUGCACAUCUUUCCGAAACAAAUGAUAGCUCCAAAAGCCUUGGAAAUACAUUGAUUUCAAUGAAUGAUCAGCCUGCUGUGCAUCUAGCCACACAAUACUAGCAACACCUCAAAUCAAUGUGAUUCCAAAACACCUCACAGAUUUAACACAGGUUUCAUUUUUUUGCGGGUAUUUUUUGCGGGUAUUUAACACAGAUUUAAAUUCAGAUGCCCUGUGCUACAGGUCUCUGUGCUAACACGCUGUUUUGAGGGGUUAGAAGGCAUCUGUAGUAAUUGUUGCGUUUCAUUUUCUUUCUUUUUUCUUUUUCU